GGAUGGGUGGCCGAGCGGUUUAAGGCACCGGUCUUGAAAACCGGCAGGCCUGUGAGGGUCUCGUGGGUUCGAAUCCCACCCCAUCCGCCA
This 90-nucleotide transfer RNA is filed under the name Alphaproteobacteria bacterium. RNAcentral's name for it is "tRNA-Ser". It matches the Rfam family "tRNA". From Rfam's summary of the family: Transfer RNA (tRNA) molecules are approximately 80 nucleotides in length. Lineage: Bacteria; Pseudomonadati; Pseudomonadota; Alphaproteobacteria. The record is from RNAcentral.